RNAcentral lists this unclassified non-coding RNA (232 nucleotides) under uncultured fungus. Its description in RNAcentral is "sequence contains ITS1, 5.8S rRNA gene". The stretch from base 184 to 232 matches the Rfam family "5.8S ribosomal RNA", at positions 1 to 49 of the family's 154-position model. Lineage: Eukaryota; Fungi. The record is from RNAcentral.
UCUCCGUUGGUGAACCAGCGGAGGGAUCAUUAUCGUCGGGCUUCGCAGCCCUGUCGAGAUAGCACCCUUUGUCCUUUUGGCGCACUUGUCUUGUUUCCUCGGGCUGGCACCCCCAGCCCACGAGGACCAACAAUCAAACCUUUUGCAGUUUCUGUCACAGUCUGAUCUAAACAAAAUCGUAACAACUUUCAACAAUGGAUCUCUUGGUUCUGGCAUCGAUGAAGAACGCAGC